UACGGAGGUGGCAAGCGUUGCUCGGAAUCACUGGGCGUAAAGGGCGCGUAGGCGGGGAGGUAAGUCGGGUGUGAAAUCCCUCGGCCCAACCGAGGAACUGCGCCCGAGACUGCUUCUCUUGAGUCCCGGAGAGGAAGAUGGAAUUCCCGGUGUAGCGGUGAAAUGUGUAGAGAUCGGGAGGAACACCGGUGGCGAAGGCGGUCUUCUGGACGGUGACUGACGCUGAGGCGCGAAAGCUAGGGUAGCAAACGGG
Molecule: ribosomal RNA, 253 nt
Filed under: uncultured bacterium
Lineage: Bacteria
Description: partial 16S ribosomal RNA
Rfam family: Bacterial small subunit ribosomal RNA
Source: RNAcentral